GGGGUCUUCGGCCUGGAGGUCUCGUUCUUCUUCGCUCAGUUCAAGAACGACCAUCAAACUUUAAGUACAUUUCACUGUAUUUUCAAGAGUUGGUGUGGAAAUGCUAAGUAGGGAGUGGACGGGGAAGUUAGCCGCGACUUUCCUAGUCAGCUUACUAGGAGUCGCGGCUUUGCCCAGCCCUUAUGCUGGUUUUGCAUUAGAGGAUAUUAGGAGGCCAAUUUAUCGAGGAAAUGACAGGUAUAAACGUAUUUAUUAUAAUAAAACUGUGAGCCCUUCAUCUGGAAUUCCCCCGUUUAAAAGUUUUAGUAAUAAUUUCGUUAGUUAUAAGAAAACGCCAUAUAUUGUUGUGAUGGGUAAUAUUUACAAUCGUUUGAGGGUUAGACGAAGCGAUCACGCAUACGUCGAUAAUGUCUUAACUUGGUUGUCUAAGAACAGAACUGACAAAUCAAAAGUUAACAGUGACGAAAUAUGGUCUUUAGUUCCUUUAGUGUCGUCCUUAACGAAUCACAGCCGGACGAAGGACAUGGUGAAGCAGUUCUUGACCAAUUCUUUGCAGCAUUUGAAGAGCGAUAAAGUUCAAGAAGAUAAAGUUCACGUUGAAGAUGCGGGCGAUAAAGAAUCGUUGGACAAUUUGAUCUUGUCGCACACGAGUGGUCCUAGACCUAUUCAGAUGGUGCCUCAAGGUAGCCCUUCUAAAUGGCUGGACACGGUAAACAUGAACACAUCGGUGAUAUUGGUAGAAGACGUUCACCCGUCAAAACUACCGAAACCGCCGUGGCAUUCGUGGCAUCAUAACAAUCGGCCGUCGUCAUCGCCUCCUAUGAUCGUUACAUACAGACCUGAAACUUCUUCUGGUUGGUCUUCGAACAAUGUCGAAUAUAGCCCUGUGCAAAUUGUGACGAAACCUGUCACGAGCAGACCGAAACCUGUUACUAUAAAGCCGGUUUAUGAGUAUGAUCCGCUACCCGAACCGCCUAAAAGGCCUCCUCAAAACGGCCCUAGUUCUCCUAAACCUCAAUUCAAUUAUCCAAAGCCUGUAACACAAAAACCGAUAUUUCAAAACCCAGCCCCGACUUUGCCACCGGUCGUAAAACCGGAUAUUCACAAACCAUCAGGAGUAAUUCACAAUUUCCCUACCGCAUUCGUUUCCAAUUUUCAUCACGAGCCGACCUAUAUGACAAGCUCGAGUCCGAGACCUCCGAGUAAACCUAGUAUAAUUAUUUUAGACGUAUCUACUCCUCCCACUACUGUAGGUCACAACCCUUACAGACCACCUUACGUUUCAGGCAAGCCGAAACCUGUUUUUAACGACCCGACGUCGAUAUAUGGGGACGUCGGUGAACACAAUUAUAAACCGGUGCACAUGUAUCCGAAACCUCAGCCGAAUCCCGAACCCCCUCCUUACAAGCCUCACAAUCACGUUGUAAAGCCCGUUCACAGUAUUCUGCCGUCUGAACCCUUAAAACCCAUCCGACCGACUAUAAUUACUUCCCACGGUGUUUUGACGACGACCCCAUCUAGACCGCCUCCGCCGAGCAUCGUCAUUAUAGACAGCGGCUAUCCUACUCAUUCUACGCCAACGGACAAUUGCGGCACAGUGCAGGUAGUGAGCAAUGCAAAAAGUACUACAGAUCAAAUGAGUGAAAAAGCCUGUUCCGAUGUGUUGGUCUUUCUGAAUUCUCCGGUAGCUGUAGGAACCGGAACAGUGACGAGCAGUAGCGGUGGUGGAGCAGGAGGAUCUCUCUCUGGUGGUGUCGGGGGAGCUGCAGCAGCCGGAGCGGCAGGCGCUGCUGGGGCUGCUGGGACUGCAGGGGCUGCUGGAGCUGCUGGAGCUGCAGGGGCUGCUGGAGUUGCUGGGGCUGCAGUUGCUGCGCCGUCCGAAGGUGCAGGAGCAGGAGCUGCUGAUGGUGGAGUUCUUUAUGGUCCCCCAGUUUCGGCAGACCCAGUCCAUUCGGUAGGCGGUGUAAAUCCGUCUCUGCAUCCGCUGGACGACGACGACGACGAAGAUGACUACGAUUACGAUAUCAACUCGACGGCCCCGUCGCCUCCGCCUCCACCACCGAAACCUACGCACAGACCGAAUCAUCAUCUUUUUUUUCAUACUUCUCAUAAUUUUUUCAACGACAUGAUUUUCACAGCAGCACACACGAUUCCGUUCUUAGGGCCUCUCAGUGUCUCGCUUUGGAUUAUUUUGCUCGGGCCGAUGGUGUUCAUUCUUUUAGGAGCUUUGGGAAUCGGAGCUUUGCUGUUGCCAUGGAUUGUUCCUAAGACUGUUGUAGGUAAACGUAGACGACGAUCGGCCCGCUACGAAACUCGAUUCUCCGAUUCGGCCAUACUGUUUGAAAGGAACUUGAAAUUAGGAUAUUUUAACAAAUACAACUGAGUUAUGUUUGUAACUAACUUGAAAGCUUCAAGCUUACCUCGAUAAAUGAGGAAGCAAACAUGUUCCUAUUUCAAUGAAAACAUUAACAACCAAAAAUACUUCAAAUGUAUCUGAUUUAGAUGACUUCAGACAAUAUACUUUUUCUUAACUAACAAAUUUCUUUUCUAUAAUUUCUAUCCUUCUUUACCUUUCUAUUAAAAAAUUACUGGCAAUUUCUUUACGUCUGUCUUCUUUGAACUUAUUUACCAUUAGGUAUAAAUAAUAAUUUUGAAAGAAUGAUCGAUUUUUGCUCUCCUCUAUUUCGUGCCAAGACAGCAACAUUUAAUUUUCCAAACUUAUAACAUAUUAAAUAAUGAGUCAUUAUGUAAAUUACAGUUAUUUAAAUGCGUAAAGACAAAAGUUAUUUUGUAUAUUGUAUGUAAUUAUUCACUGAUGUGUUAAUCUUUUUUUUUUCAAUGAUUAUUUCAAUUUUGUCUAGAUUUAGUUGAGAAUUAUAGUUUUGAGAAAAGUAGAAAGGUUAGACAAACAUUUAAUUAAAUUGCCAUCAUUGCCAAAUUUAAAUAGAAGAAAUAUAAGAUUAAAUAGUAUAUAUGAUAACAUAAUAGUAGAAACAUUAGCUAUAAAUAUUGUUGUCAGUGGUUAAAAUGUUGUACUUUAUGAGUACAGAUCAUAAUAUCUAGCAAGUGCUAUAUUAUUUUGUAAUAAUGGCUCAAACCGAUUUUGUAUGCAACUACUUAUGCUUUCAAUACUUGCAUAUUGUAAAUAUUGAUUUUAUAAUUGUAAGAAUUCAAGAAUAAAAUUCUUCACGAGUUUUUUCAAAGGACCAGAGAUCUUAAGAACGAGAGCAGGAUCGUCGAGAGAGGUGAGGUCGCUGCAGCGUUGGGCGCUGAGGACGGGCGAGCA
RNAcentral lists this unclassified non-coding RNA (3286 nucleotides) under Cimex lectularius (bed bug). RNAcentral describes it as "mucin-3A-like, transcript variant X1". The record is from RNAcentral. Lineage: Eukaryota; Metazoa; Arthropoda; Insecta; Hemiptera; Cimicidae.